RNAcentral lists this small RNA (28 nucleotides) under Bombyx mori (domestic silkworm). Its description in RNAcentral is "ovarian small RNA-11208". Lineage: Eukaryota; Metazoa; Arthropoda; Insecta; Lepidoptera; Bombycidae. The record is from RNAcentral.
ACCAAUGUGUCUACUUCUGGAAUAUCGG